This 449-nucleotide ribosomal RNA is filed under the name uncultured bacterium. RNAcentral describes it as "bacterial SSU rRNA". It matches the Rfam family "Bacterial small subunit ribosomal RNA", at positions 64 to 507 of the family's 1533-position model. The record is from RNAcentral.
GAGUGCGCGUGCCGUAGCAAUACGGUAUGGCGCACGGCGCACGGGUGCGUAACACGUGGGCAAUCUGCCCUCCGGUGGGGAAUAACCCCGCGAAAGCGGGGCUAAUUCCGCAUAACACUCCCUGGACUCCGGUUCGGGGAUUCAAAGCAGUGAUGCGCCGGAGGAGGAGCCCGCGCCCGAUUAGCUAGUUGGUGAGGUAAUGGCCCACCAAGGCAAUGAUCGGUAGCCGGCCUGAGAGGGCGCACGGCCACACUGGCACUGAAACACGGGCCAGACUCCUACGGGAGGCAGCAGUGGGGAAUUUUGCACAAUGCCCGAAAGGGUGAUGCAGCAACGCCGCGUGAGGGAUGAAGGCCUUCGGGUCGUAAACCUCUUUCGAUCGGGAAAAACGGGCGCGUGAAGAGCGCGUUCUGAUGGUACCGGAUGAAGAAGCCCCGGCUAACUACGUG